This 305-nucleotide ribosomal RNA is filed under the name uncultured bacterium. RNAcentral's name for it is "bacterial SSU rRNA". It matches the Rfam family "Bacterial small subunit ribosomal RNA", at positions 337 to 634 of the family's 1533-position model. The record is from RNAcentral.
ACCUACGGGGCGCAGCAGUAGGGAAUCUUCCACAAUGGGCGAAAGCCUGAUGGAGCAACGCCGCGUGGGUGAAGGAGGUCUUCGGAUCGUAAAACCCUGUUGUUAGAGAAGAAAGUGCGUGAGAGUAACUGUUCACGUUUCGACGGUAUCUAACCAGAAAGCCACGGCUAACUACGUGCCAGCAGCUGCGGUAAUACGUAGGUGGCAAGCGUUAUCCGGAUUUAUUGGGCGUAAAGGGAACGCAGGCGGUCUUUUAAGUCUGAUGUGAAAGCCUUCGGCUUAACCGGAGUAGUGCAUUGGAAACU